RNAcentral lists this ribosomal RNA (385 nucleotides) under uncultured bacterium. Its description in RNAcentral is "bacterial SSU rRNA". It matches the Rfam family "Bacterial small subunit ribosomal RNA", at positions 29 to 416 of the family's 1533-position model. The record is from RNAcentral.
AUUGAACGCUGGCGGCAUGCCUUACACAUGCAAGUCGAACGGCAGCACGGGGGCAACCCUGGUGGCGAGUGGCGAACGGGUGAGUAAUACAUCGGAACGUGCCCCGUAGCGGGGGACAACCAGUCGAAAGACUGGCUAAUACCGCAUACGCUCCACGGAGGAAAGCAGGGGAUCGCAAGACCUUGCACUAUGGGAGCGGCCGAUGCCCGAUUAGCUAGUUGGUGAGGUAAAGGCUCACCAAGGCAACGAUCGGUAGCUGGUCUGAGAGGACGACCAGCCACACUGGGACUGAGACACGGCCCAGACUCCUACGGGAGGCAGCAGUGGGGAAUUUUGGACAAUGGGCGCAAGCCUGAUCAGCCAUGCCGCGUGCGGGAAGAAGGCC